AGGAUUUAAAAAUUUUUAGUUGUAACAUACAUUUAAUGUAACAUAAAUUUCGUCUUUUAUGAAAGAAUACAUGCUAGUUAUUCAUUACAAGUAAGAUAUACAAUCCCAAUUCCUUAUUAUAUACAGUGCAUAUUGUAUUGUAGGCGCUGCCAAUAGCUUAAACUUUAGAGAAAAUUAUAGGAAAAUUACUUGAAUUUUUUAUCCAUAAAUCUAAAGAAUGUUUUAUAAUUUCUUUGUUUCUCUUCUUCACACAAACUCAACAGUUCCUUUUUCAAUUCACACAAACACCAUUACAUCAAUAUUAAGUUCUAUGCAUUGAUAUUGGAUUUUGCUAUUUGCUUCCACGUUGGUGAACCAAAGGGCAUCCAGGGAGAUUGUCAAUUUUUCCUUUACUAAAAUCAUUAUUUACUACUAAUUUCCUAUUUUUUUUAUAAUAGCCAAUAAUUCCCGACAGCAUAGUUUUACAAUAUUACCCUUAUUU
Molecule: long non-coding RNA, 481 nt
Filed under: Citrus x clementina
Lineage: Eukaryota; Viridiplantae; Streptophyta; Magnoliopsida; Sapindales; Rutaceae
Description: Citrus clementina (C. clementina) long non-coding RNA (CCLE_LNC006640)
Source: RNAcentral